AACCUGAGACAAGGUUCCAGGCCCUACGGGGUGCAGCAGGCGCGAAACCUCCGCAAUGUGAGAAAUCGCGACGGGGGGAUCCCAAGUGCCAUUCUUAACGGGAUGGCUUUUCAUUAGUGUAAAGAGCUUUUGGAAUAAGAGCUGGGCAAGACCGGUACCAGCCGCCGCGGUAACACCGGCAGCUCUAGUGGUAACAAUUUUUAUUGGGCCUAAAGCGUCCGUAGCCGGUUUAAUAAGUCUCUGGUGAAAUCCUGUAGCUUAACUGUGGGAAUUGCUGGAGAUACUAUUAGACUUGAGACCGGGAGAGGUUAGAGGUACUCCCAGGGUAGAGGUGAAAUUCUGUAAUCCUGGGAGGACCGCCUGUUGCGAAGGCGUCUAACUGGAACGGUUCUGACGGUGAGGGACGAAAGUUAGGGGCGCGAACCGGAUUAGAUACCCGGGUAGUCCUAACUGUAAACGAUGCGGACUUGGUGUUGGGGUGGCUUUGAGCUGCUCCAGUGCCGAAAGGGAAGCUGUUAAGUCCGCCGCCUGG
RNAcentral lists this ribosomal RNA (532 nucleotides) under uncultured archaeon. Its description in RNAcentral is "bacterial SSU rRNA". It matches the Rfam family "Archaeal small subunit ribosomal RNA", at positions 300 to 831 of the family's 1478-position model. The record is from RNAcentral.